UGGGGAAUAUUGCACAAUGGGCGCAAGCCUGAUGCAGCCAUGCCGCGUGUAUGAAGAAGGCCUUCGGGUUGUAAAGUACUUUCAGCGGGGAGGAAGGGAGUAAAGUUAAUACCUUUGCUCAUUGACGUUACCCGCAGAAGAAGCACCGGCUAACUCCGUGCCAGCAGCCGCGGUAAUACGGAGGGUGCAAGCGUUAAUCGGAAUUACUGGGCGUAAAGCGCACGCAGGCGGAUUGUUAAGUCAGAUGUGAAAUCCCCGGGCUCAACCUGGGAACUGCAUCUGAUACUGGCAAGCUUGAGUCUCGUAGAGGGGGGUAGAAUUCCAGGUGUAGCGGUGAAAUGCGUAGAGAUCUGGAGGAAUACCGGUGGCGAAGGCGGCCCCCUGGACGAAGACUGACGCUCAGGUGCGAAAGCGUGGGGAGCAAACAGG
This 429-nucleotide ribosomal RNA is filed under the name Chloroflexota bacterium. RNAcentral describes it as "Chloroflexi bacterium partial 16S ribosomal RNA". It matches the Rfam family "Bacterial small subunit ribosomal RNA", at positions 355 to 776 of the family's 1533-position model. Lineage: Bacteria; Bacillati; Chloroflexota. The record is from RNAcentral.